RNAcentral lists this ribosomal RNA (207 nucleotides) under Klebsiella pneumoniae. RNAcentral describes it as "partial 23S ribosomal RNA". It matches the Rfam family "Bacterial large subunit ribosomal RNA", at positions 1292 to 1503 of the family's 2925-position model. The record is from RNAcentral. Lineage: Bacteria; Pseudomonadati; Pseudomonadota; Gammaproteobacteria; Enterobacterales; Enterobacteriaceae.
GAAUGCUGACAUAAGUAACGAUAAAGCGGGUGAAAAGCCCGCUCGCCGGAAGACCAAGGGUUCCUGUCCAACGUUAAUCGGGGCAGGGUGAGUCGACCCCUAAGGCGAGGCCGAAAGGCGUAGUCGAUGGGAAACAGGUUAAUAUUCCUGUACUUGGUGUUACUGCGAAGGGGGGACGGAGAAGGCUAUGUUAGCCGGGCGACGGUU